CCUACGGGUGGCAGCAGUGGGGAAUAUUGGACAAUGGGGGGAACCCUGAUCCAGCCAUGCCGCGUGUGUGAAGAAGGCCCUCGGGUUGUAAAGCACUUUCAGUGAGGAAGAACGCCUGGUGGUUAAUACCCAUCAGGAAAGACAUCACUCACAGAAGAAGCACCGGCUAACUCCGUGCCAGCAGCCGCGGUAAUACGGAGGGUGCGAGCGUUAAUCGGAAUUACUGGGCGUAAAGCGCGCGUAGGUGGCUUGAUAAGCCGGUCGUGAAAGCCCCGGGCUCAACCUGGGAACGGCAUCCGGAACUGUCAAGCUAGAGUGCAGGAGAGGAAGGUAGAAUUCCCGGUGUAGCGGUGAAAUGCGUAGAGAUCGGGAGGAAUACCAGUGGCGAAGGCGGCCUUCUGGACUGACACUGACACUGAGGUGCGAAAGCGUGGGUAGCAAACAGGAUUAGAUACCCCGGUAGUC
RNAcentral lists this ribosomal RNA (465 nucleotides) under Vreelandella stevensii. RNAcentral's name for it is "partial 16S ribosomal RNA". It matches the Rfam family "Bacterial small subunit ribosomal RNA", at positions 338 to 795 of the family's 1533-position model. Lineage: Bacteria; Pseudomonadati; Pseudomonadota; Gammaproteobacteria; Oceanospirillales; Halomonadaceae. The record is from RNAcentral.